UAGCUCAGUAGGAUAGAGCAACCGCCUCCUAAGCGGUAGGUCGCUGGUUCAAUUCCN
RNAcentral lists this transfer RNA (57 nucleotides) under Enterococcus faecalis. Its description in RNAcentral is "tRNA-Arg (CCT) (tRNA-Arg-CCT-1-1)". It matches the Rfam family "tRNA", at positions 8 to 61 of the family's 71-position model. Rfam says of the family: Transfer RNA (tRNA) molecules are approximately 80 nucleotides in length. Their secondary structure includes four short double-helical elements and three loops (D, anti-codon, and T loops). The record is from RNAcentral. Lineage: Bacteria; Bacillati; Bacillota; Bacilli; Lactobacillales; Enterococcaceae.